UCAUUUUGGAUUGAAACUGAUAUUUGGAUUUGGUGUUUUUUGGAUUGAAAUUUUGGACGAAGCUGGAGGUGUCAAGAGAUGAGGUUCACAAGGGUGGAAAUGUUGGGAAACCUUCAGAGAUGAUGGUAUGUUGGAGUUUUGAUGAACAACAACAACAGGCAUCGAUCUCAUCCUUGAUUUUAAAGGUUAGACUUAUUUUUGCCUCCAGUUGGUGUACUAUUCAAUUCUACUAAAGGGUGAUUAAAAACGAACGAGAGAUGGCUUCAAAAUUGUUGUAGUAACACAGUAAAAUCUACGUAUUCGAGUUAAAACACAGUCUUACUUAAAGCAAUUUUAUUCACCACGUUUUUUUAUAAACUUCUUGAUGGCAAUUCUUACAACCAAAGAUAUUACACACCAAGAUGGAGCAUCCCUAUACUGAAUGCAUGGAAUGUUUUGUCCGCAAAAUAAACACCGAAUGUUUACAAACAAACGCGGCAAUAGUAAACAGAAACCAGUGGCGUAGUUGAAAAGUUGUAAAUAAUAAUAUGUAAUAUCUUUUAUUAUAGCGGUGUGAAGAAUAGUAAUGAUGGGUGUAUAUGAAUUUGAUAAUUACAUCAAUUCGUUUGGAAAAUAAAAUUGUUUGAUAUAA
Molecule: long non-coding RNA, 631 nt
Organism: Coccinella septempunctata (seven-spotted ladybird)
Lineage: Eukaryota; Metazoa; Arthropoda; Insecta; Coleoptera; Coccinellidae
Exons: 2
Source: RefSeq, a predicted model, not a curated record